This 468-nucleotide ribosomal RNA is filed under the name uncultured bacterium. RNAcentral's name for it is "partial 16S ribosomal RNA". It matches the Rfam family "Bacterial small subunit ribosomal RNA", at positions 28 to 507 of the family's 1533-position model. The record is from RNAcentral.
GACGAACGCUGGCGGCGUGCUUAACACAUGCAAGUCGAACGGAAAGGCCCUGCUUUUGUGGGGUGCUCGAGUGGCGAACGGGUGAGUAACACGUGAGUAACCUGCCCUUGACUUUGGGAUAACUUCAGGAAACUGGGGCUAAUACCGGAUAGGAGCUCCUGCUGCAUGGUGGGGGUUGGAAAGUUUCGGCGGGUGGGGAUGGACUCGCGGCUUAUCAGCUUGUUGGUGGGGUAGUGGCUUACCAAGGCUUUGACGGGUAGCCGGCCUGAGAGGGUGACCGGCCACAUUGGGACUGAGAGACGGCACAGACUCGUACGGUAGGCAGCAGUGGGGAAUAUUGCACAAUGGGCGGAAGCCUGAUGCAGCAACGCCGCGUGCGGGAUGUCGGCUUUCGGGUUGUAAACCGCUUUCGCCUGUGACGAAGCGUGAGUGACGGUAAUGGGUAAAGAAGCACCGGCUAACUACGUG